GAGUUUGAUCAUGGCUCAGAUUGAACGCUGGCGGAAUGCUUUACACAUGCAAGUCGAGCGGCAGCGCGGGGCAACCUGGCGGCGAGCGGCGAACGGGUGAGUAAUGCAUCGGAACGUGUCCACGUCGUGGGGGAUAGCCCGGCGAAAGCCGGAUUAAUACCGCAUACGCCCGAGAGGGGAAAGUGGGGGACCGCAAGGCCUCACGCGAUUGGGUCGGCCGAUGUCCGAUUAGCUAGUUGGCGGGGUAAAGGCCCACCAAGGCGAUGAUCGGUAGCUGGUCUGAGAGGAUGAUCAGCCACACUGGGACUGAGACACGGCCCAGACUCCUACGGGAGGCAGCAGUGGGGAAUUUUGGACAAUGGGGGCAACCCUGAUCCAGCCAUUCCGCGUGAGUGAAGAAGGCCUUCGG
RNAcentral lists this ribosomal RNA (409 nucleotides) under uncultured beta proteobacterium. Its description in RNAcentral is "bacterial SSU rRNA". It matches the Rfam family "Bacterial small subunit ribosomal RNA", at positions 9 to 421 of the family's 1533-position model. Lineage: Bacteria; Pseudomonadati; Pseudomonadota; Betaproteobacteria. The record is from RNAcentral.